RNAcentral lists this transfer RNA (84 nucleotides) under Mycoplasma sp. CAG:776. RNAcentral describes it as "transfer RNA-Tyr(GTA)". It matches the Rfam family "tRNA". Rfam says of the family: Transfer RNA (tRNA) molecules are approximately 80 nucleotides in length. Their secondary structure includes four short double-helical elements and three loops (D, anti-codon, and T loops). Lineage: Bacteria; Bacillati; Mycoplasmatota; Mollicutes; Mycoplasmatales; Mycoplasmataceae. The record is from RNAcentral. RNAcentral also lists the same sequence under 1 other name.
GGGGAGAUAGCGAAGUGGUCAAACGCGGCAGACUGUAAAUCUGUUCCUUCGGGUUCCAUGGUUCAAAUCCAUGUCUCCCCACCA